CAAUAGCGUAUAUUAAAGUUGUUGCGGUUAAAAAGCUCGUAGUUGGAUUUCUGCUGAGAACGACCGGUCCGCCCUUUGGGUGUGUAUCUGGCUCUUUCUUGGCAUCUUCUUGGUGAACGUUGCUGCACUUGACUGUGUGGAGCGCUACCCAGGACUUUUACUUUGAGGAAAUUAGAGUGUUUCAAGCAGGCAUACGCCUUGAAUACAUUAGCAUGGAAUAAUAAGAUAGGACCUCGGUUCUAUUUUGUUGGUUUCUAGAGCUGAGGUAAUGAUUAAUAGGGAUAGUUGGGGGCAUUCGUAUUUAACUGUCAGAGGUGAAAUUCUUGGAUUUGUUAAAGACGGACUACUGCAAAAGCAUUUGCCAAGGAUGUUUUCAUUG
Molecule: ribosomal RNA, 379 nt
Filed under: uncultured eukaryote
Lineage: Eukaryota
Description: partial 18S ribosomal RNA
Rfam family: Eukaryotic small subunit ribosomal RNA
Source: RNAcentral